RNAcentral lists this ribosomal RNA (360 nucleotides) under Escherichia coli. RNAcentral describes it as "partial 23S ribosomal RNA". It matches the Rfam family "Bacterial large subunit ribosomal RNA", at positions 1 to 353 of the family's 2925-position model. RNAcentral also lists the same sequence under 1 other name. The record is from RNAcentral. Lineage: Bacteria; Pseudomonadati; Pseudomonadota; Gammaproteobacteria; Enterobacterales; Enterobacteriaceae.
AGAUUAAGUUAUUAAGGGCGCACGGUGGAUGCCUUGGCACUAGAAGCCGAUGAAGGACGUUACUAACGACGAUAUGCUUUGGGGAGCUGUAAGUAAGCUUUGAUCCAGAGAUUUCCGAAUGGGGAAACCCAGCAUGAGUUAUGUCAUGUUAUCGAUAUGUGAAUACAUAGCAUAUCAGAAGGCACACCCGGAGAACUGAAACAUCUUAGUACCCGGAGGAAGAGAAAGAAAAUUCGAUUCCCUUAGUAGCGGCGAGCGAAACGGGAAGAGCCCAAACCAACAAGCUUGCUUGUUGGGGUUGUAGGACACUCUAUACGGAGUUACAAAGGACGACAUUAGACGAAUCAUCUGGAAAGAUGA